AAAUCUGUGUACGUGAAGAAUACAAGGACGGGACUAGGGGAGGCAGACCCGGGUACCUACGGGGCAGGUGUCGCGGUAAUGCGGAGGGGGAUAGGGGUAUCCGGAUUUACUGGGCGUAAAGGGUGCGUAGGCGGUCUUUCAAGUCAGGAGUGAAAGGCUACGGCGCAACCGGAGUAAGCUCUUGAAACUGGGAGACUUGAGUGCAGGAGAGGAGAGUGGAAUUCCUAGUGUAGCGGUGAAAUGCGUAGAUA
Molecule: ribosomal RNA, 251 nt
Filed under: Clostridioides difficile
Lineage: Bacteria; Bacillati; Bacillota; Clostridia; Peptostreptococcales; Peptostreptococcaceae
Description: partial 16S ribosomal RNA
Rfam family: Bacterial small subunit ribosomal RNA
Source: RNAcentral